Molecule: transfer RNA, 64 nt
Filed under: Culicoides wadai
Lineage: Eukaryota; Metazoa; Arthropoda; Insecta; Diptera; Ceratopogonidae
Description: tRNA-Leu
Source: RNAcentral
UUUAAUAUGGCAGAUAAAUGCGAUAGAUUUAAGAUCUAUUUAUAAAGUAUUACUUUUAUUAAAA